UUCCGUAGGGGGGACCUGCGGAAGGAUCAUUACUGAGUUAGGGUCUCCAAGGCCCGACCUCCAACCCUGUGUCUACUAUACCACUGUUGCUUCGGCGGGCCCGUCCUGUCUAUCAUGGACAGGCCGCCGGGGGGGAACUUAUCCCUCCUGGCCAGUGCCCGUCGGUGGCCAUUAACUAAACUCUUGAUGAAUUGUGUCGUCUGAGUCUUAGAGUAUAAUUAAAAACAAAACUUUCAACAACGGAUCUCUUGGUUCUGGCAUCGAUGAAGAACGCAGCGAAAUGCGAUAAGUAAUGCGAAUUGCAGAAUUUCCGUGAGUCAUCGAAUCUUUGAACGCACAUUGCGCCCUUUGGCAUUCCGAAGGGCAUGCCUGUUCGAGCGUCAUUAUCACCCCUCAAGCUCUGGCUUGGUGUUGGAAUCUUCAGUUGAGUGAUCAACUGGUUCCCAAAGGCAAUGACGGAGUCCGUGGGACCCUCGGUGCAAUGAGCUUUAACCAGCACGCAUCAGAGUAUAAAGGCCCCUCGGCACGGUCUUCAAUCUUCUUCCAUUUUUUGAAGGUGACCUCGG
Molecule: ribosomal RNA, 566 nt
Filed under: Aphanophora eugeniae
Lineage: Eukaryota; Fungi; Ascomycota; Eurotiomycetes; Chaetothyriales; Chaetothyriaceae
Description: eukaryotic LSU rRNA
Rfam family: 5.8S ribosomal RNA (bases 229-383)
Source: RNAcentral